UUAUCCUCGAAUGGCAACCUGGAUUUUUUUCAACCGCCCAGGCGAAUGGAUACUAGUCUAAACAUUGGAAUUCCGCCAUUUUAUCGCUCGUUUUUUUCUUUUUGGAGGAUGAAGACAGUUCCCAUACAGGCAUUGAUGUGACGACCGAGUCCGCCGCAACGGCAGCGAAUCGUUGGCGACAGUCGAGUCCUAUUCUGUUCCACCCCGAGGUUGUACUCCGGAUUUUGAAGCCCUCAUCAGAUCCAAUUCUUUGCUGCCACUUCAGAGGUUGCGGUUACCACCGUAACGAUUUCUAAUUUAAGAUAAUCUGAACAUUGAUUGAUUUGAGGUGAAUCCUUCGCCGCUGUUUAAUAGCCUUUAUCCAUUCGGGAAACUGAAGAGAGAUUGCGGAAAUUCAAGACGUAUCAAUAAAUUAUUUAGUUGU
RNAcentral lists this long non-coding RNA (424 nucleotides) under Daphnia pulicaria. RNAcentral describes it as "uncharacterized LOC124326020, transcript variant X2". The record is from RNAcentral. Lineage: Eukaryota; Metazoa; Arthropoda; Branchiopoda; Diplostraca; Daphniidae.